Sus scrofa (pig) is the source of this 1793-nucleotide non-coding RNA. The record is from RefSeq and is a predicted model, not a curated record. Lineage: Eukaryota; Metazoa; Chordata; Mammalia; Artiodactyla; Suidae.
UUCCCCACCCCCGGUAACUACUGUUCUACUUUGAGCUUCUACACAUUUAAUUUUUUAAAGAGUCCCCCUAUAAGGGAAAUCAUGCAGCAUUUUUUCUUUCUGUAUCUGGCUUAUCUCACUUAGCAUAAUAUCCUUCGGGUUGAUCUAGGUUGUCACAAAUGGGAGGAUCUCCUUUUUUUAAAGCCAAGUAAUAUUUCAUUGUAUGUAUAUACCAUAAUAUCUUUGUCCAUUCAUGCCUCGACAAACACUUAGGCUGUUUCUCUAUGUCACCAGGUUCUUUUGCCUGAUGUGCAGCAAGCCAAAUGCUGAGACACUGAGGUUUGCAGCAGGGAAGGGUUUAUUGAUGAGACAGCCAAGUGAGGAGAACAAAUCUCAAAUCCACAUCCUCCAAGGAUAGAGGCACAAGGUGAAAUAGUUACCUAAUCUGGUCUUGAAGAUGUGUCCCUGUGUUAGAGCAUCCAUCUGCAGCCUGCAUGUGCCCAGCGGGUUUGGUGUGAGAGCUGGAUCUGAAGUAAGCAGGGGUCAUGUCUUCUUUUGGGGUGUGCUGGCAGCUGCUGCCUUGGUGGGAGGUAGGCUGGAGUCUGAAGAGCUAGAGCCGAAGCUAAGUGUGAGCUUUGGCUUCUCUUAGCCUCAAUAGUGGUCACAGCCCUAUCACGUGUGACUCUGGGGCCCAAGGGUCUGGAGCAGGAGCCUUGAUGGAGUUGAGCUUCCCAGUGUGAUGGCAGUCUCUGCCUUGGUUGGGGGCAUGGCUGGGGCCAGAGGGCUUGGGGCUACACUUCUGUGCCAGUUCUUUUUCCCCUGGUGCGGAUGCCUUGGAUGUAGUAGGGUGGGGUGGAAAGGUUGGAGCUGCACUGCUGAGCUGUCUCUGCUCCUUCUCUGUUGCAUGCAUGCAUACGUGUAAUGGCAGCAAUGGCAGUUUCUACCCUGGCUAGAGGCAGGGCCUGGGCUGGCUCUGCUUCUCCCUCCAUGUGCACACACAUGUCCAUACUGGUAGUGCUGAGCUCCACUCUGGCUUGUGGCGGGGCCUGGCUGAACCAGCUCUGCUCCUUCUGGGGUGCACAUGUGUACCAGCAAUUGUGGUCUCUGCUCUGGCUAGAGGCAAAGCUUGGGGCCUGACCUGGCUCUGCUCUUUGGUAAAUGUGUGUACAUUGGUCAUGGUGGCUUCCUCCUUAGUGGGGACUGCUAGAGCAGGAGCCUGGUGUGGGCCGAUGGAUGUGCUGGAGGUUAUCCUGGUAGGUUGUCCAGAGCACCAAGCAAUUUUCUAUCUGCUACCUCUAUGCUAGAACCAGGAGCAAGCAAGCCUGUGCACAAACUCUUCAAGAGCAGAACCUUAAGUUUCUGAUAGCCUUCUAGUAAGCCCCUCCUGGUUUUAAAACCAGAUAUGGGGGUUCAUCUUCCUGGUGUUGGACUCUAAGGCUGGGUUGCCUAAUACGUAGCUCAAACCCCUUAACCCCCAGCGAGGAAACCGGGCUAUCACCAUCCUCUCUGGGUGCGGGUCCUUACUAGAUUGCUUCUCCUCUGCUGUCAUACUCCAUGUGGUUCUUUCUUUACAGCCUUGAUUGUGGAAGAGUCAUUCUUCUAGUCUUCAAGUCAUUAUCAGUGAGAGUCGUUCUAUAUGUAUUUGUAGUUCUGAUGUGUUUGUUGGGGGAGGUGAGCUCCAGGUCUUCCUACUCUGCCAUAUUGAUUCUGGCUCACCAAAUAAAGAGUUAAACUAGAUAUUAUAAGUAUUUUCUAUGAAGUAAAGGAAAAUAUGCAGCAGUGAAUAAAGUUGUAGAAAACCUCAGCAGAAAAUU